This 73-nucleotide transfer RNA is filed under the name Streptomyces sp. F-3. RNAcentral describes it as "tRNA-Glu". Lineage: Bacteria; Bacillati; Actinomycetota; Actinomycetes; Kitasatosporales; Streptomycetaceae. The record is from RNAcentral.
GCACCGUCAGCGCCACCGCGGCCUCCACCUGCUCGUCCGGCGUUCCGCAGCGCUCCACCAGGUCCAGGUCGCU